UACGGAGGGUGCAAGCGUUAUCCGGAAUCAUUGGGUUUAAAGGGUCCGCAGGCGGGAAUAUAAGUCAGUGGUGAAAUCUCUCGGCUUAACCGAGAAACUGCCAUUGAUACUGUUUUUCUUGAAUUUGGUCGGAGUGGGCGGAAUGUGUCAUGUAGCGGUGAAAUGCAUAGAUAUGACACAGAACACCGAUAGCGAAGGCAGCUCACUAGACCUGAAUUGACGCUCAUGGACGAAAGCGUGGGGAGCGAACAGG
Molecule: ribosomal RNA, 253 nt
Filed under: uncultured bacterium
Lineage: Bacteria
Description: partial 16S ribosomal RNA
Rfam family: Bacterial small subunit ribosomal RNA
Source: RNAcentral